RNAcentral lists this long non-coding RNA (6197 nucleotides) under Sus scrofa (pig). RNAcentral describes it as "lncRNA (ENSSSCG00000061833.1)". Lineage: Eukaryota; Metazoa; Chordata; Mammalia; Artiodactyla; Suidae. The record is from RNAcentral.
GGAGCGGGAGGAGGAGCCCGAAGGUGAAGCCUUUGGUGAGGGUGCGUGGAGCCCAGAGGGUGUGCUGAACUGAGGUGUUGUAUGGUAAUUAUUACUAACUCUGUUGAGUAACACUUAGUAUUUCUGCAGCUUAAUGGCUACAGAGAACUUUCAAAAACAGUGAAUUUCAUUUAUGAUCAGAUAUUACCUGGCCUGAUGUUUUUAGCCCCCCUCCCUCUAAUACAACGAAAGCAAAAGUGUUUUGGUGUUUUCCAAAGAAUGCCAGGUUUGCUAGGAGUUCUGACACAUGGCUGAUUUCAGAAACGGAAGGAAAAAUCGACUUGAGGACUGGGGAUGGUUGUGACACAUUUCAGCCUUGUGCCACAGAGGUUAACAAACUUAACUGGCAACGGUGGAUCCGGGUGUUUGAAGUUGAACUCGCAAGCUUACUCAUUGUAUUAGCAAACACAGGGCCUUUUCCUUCACUCAUGUGUGUAAGUGCGAAUUUGUUGUCAUGUCUCAAAAUUUAAAAGGUAACAAAGGACAUUCAUAUAGUGAAACAAACAAACAAACCAUCCAUCCCUAGAAGCCCUGAAGGUUGCAGGCAAUGUUAAAAGUUUCUCACGAUCCUGCAGAGACAGCCUAUGAAUGUAGAAGCAAAGAUGUAUAUUUUUGUGAAUUACCUUUUUCCCACAGUGUGCAAACAGUGCAUUUUAGUCUAAUUGAAGAUCAGUUAUAUUUGUAUGUAAAAUGGUGUCUCUUCUUUUACCCAGCUGCAUAGUGAUCCAUUGUUUGAAAGUACCAUAAUUUAUUUAGCCAGUUGCAUAAAAAAAUUGGUAUUAAAGGAGUUCCCUGGUGGCCUAGCAGUUAAGGAUCCAGCAUGGUCACUGCUGUGGCUGGGGUUCCAUCCCUGGCCUGGGAACUUCCACAUGCUGUAGGCGUGAGAGGGGUGGGGGAAAGGCAUGAAAUUUAUUUCCAGUCUUGCUAUAAUUAUCAAUGCCACAACGAAAAGCUUCAAAAAAUGAUCACUAGUAGCAUGAACUAGAUCUCAAGGUAUGCAGUUGUAAUUUUGCUAAUUCUAAGUUGCUGUUUUUAACAGCUGUGCCAAUUUGUAUUCCUACCCGAGUGCCUAUUCACCUACAUCAUCCUGUCAAAAUGUCACUUGAGAUUUAAGUUCCAAGUUUGAAGCAAAAGAUCCCAAACUCAAGACUUUCUGUGUCAUACUCACCUGCCUCUUUUCUCUGGUUUUCCCUGAUUGGGUUUGAGAUCUGCCCACCCAUGACUCACUUUUGGAAACUGGAAGAAUGGUCUAGGCCUAGAGUAGCCUCUGUAACAUUUUCUCCCAGUUAAUAGGCAAAGUUAAUAACAUCUGGCUUUCAUUCUCCUCAUAUUACUCCAAGUUCUAAUAUUCUGGCUGUUCAGCAUUGAUUUAAGUUCUGAUUCGAAUGGCGUGUUCCAUUGGUGAAACCGAACUCCCGUUUCCAUUACAAAAGAUUUAAAUUGUGCCUGGUCAGCCUCUAGACACCACCUUCAGAGCCAAGAGACAGAUUUGUAGUAACAUGAUGAGGACAGGGGUAACAAAGAUGAGGUCCAGAGCAGAAAUGUGCAUAUCUUGGCCUAAAACUUCAAAAAGCUCUUCCACUGUAAAAGAGGUGAUUGAAUUUGGAUAGAGAGGCAAAGACUGGUCUUUUAAAGCAAAGCAACGUAUUAAAAGACAACAUGUAUUUAUAGCUUUGACAGUCUACCUCUUCAGAUAAUUGAAGGGCAAAGUUAAACACUUAAAAGUUAUCUUGGUGCCAAAGAGAGCCAAAGGUCCUUCCGGAGGUUAUGGACCUUGUAGAAAUUAAAUUCCUGAAACUCAGGCUUUAAUUGCCUAUCAGCCAGUGUAUUAUCUGAAACUAAUGAUUUUAUAAAAUGCUCUGUGCUUUGAGUAUGAAACUGAUUUGUUUGUCGAAUAUAGUACGUGAUCACCGUUUAACGCUGGAAUGCUUUUAGUGUUCUGGGAAGACAAAGACUGCUUCCAUAGAACUGUUAUAUUGGUCGUUUUGUUUGAAUCCAUCAGUUCAGUUUUGUUUUUUUUUUAAGUCAUCUUUCCAAGCAAUCAUUCUGCUUCAUUUUGUUCACCAAAUUGUGACUUUACAUGAAUGAAUGGACCCAUAAAUUCAGAUGAAAUAGGCAAACUAGCUGUGUUUGUUGUUUGCUGACUCAGUAUUAGACUCUGGUAGGUCCAGAACAAUGCUUCCCAAAUGGGGGUCUAUGAACCACAAAGCUUUCCCUAGUCAACUGCCAAAUGGAAAGAGUAAGAACAUCUGUUCAUGUAGAGUAGCCAGAGGUCCUUUCUUGGGGAAAAAGUGGUCCUUUAUUCUGAGAUUGUCUUUCUCUUCCAGUGUUAAAAUACCAAAAUCCUUUUCCAUAUAUGAAAUAAUGAUCUACUAUGGUGGUGUGUUUGUUUGUUUUGACACCCUUACUUGGCCAACUAAAAAGCAGUGAAAGCUAUGGGUCCUCCCCAAUUUUUUAUUAUAUCUAAAAAUUUUACUUGGCAGGCAAGAUCUAACAGUCUAGGAAUCCCUGAGCUAAAAAUUUUUCUUUUCGUUCUAAAACUAUAACUCUGUCAUUCUAUUAUGAAAAAAAAAAAGCUGGAGAAAUCAUUUAAUUAUUAAAUUUCAUUAGUCUUUGUCACUUUAAGGAAAACGUAAGCUUCAUGAGGGAAGAGAUUUAUGUUUUGUUCACUGCUAUGUCCUCACCAUACCUACCGUGGUGCCUGGCACACAGUAGGCAAUAAAUAUCUGUUGACUGAAUGGUACUAGAAGUUAUGUGUGUAUUUUAUUAGUGAUAAAUGUUUUACCCUAUGUCAACGUUUUUUUGUAGCUUCCCUCCCUUUAUUCUCAAAACAAGAUCAAAAGACAUUUGUUAUAAAUUACUGGGUAGGUUGGUUCUUAAAGUAGUAAUAGAUACCUCCGCCCCUGCCUCUGGGAACUGCCUCCUGGGGGAGAAAGGCACCCCCACCCAGGGAAGGCUGGAAGCCUGGCUACAGUGCACUGGCCAGGCAAAGGAUAGGCACCUGAUCCAAGGAGGCCAAUCAGGUUCUCCCAAGAUUUUGCACUCAGACAGUGAGUCCCCUGCUUGUGGCCAGAAUGGCAGUGGCCUCAGGCGCUAUAGGAAAGCUGUAAAUGACCAUGUCAAUGCAGGAGCUGAGAAAGCUGGUCUGUGUAGGAGCAGAGAAGGUUGAAGCAGAUGUGCCAGAAAGGAGAAGAGGACAAAUAGAAUAGCAAAUGGGAUUCUUGUGCCCUUCCAGGUUCCUAUUCUCAACUCUUUUUUGGGGGCAGGGGAGGGUACCAUGACCUCUGGAAGUUCCCAGGCUAGGGGUUGAAUCAGAGCUGCCGUAGCUGCAGGCCUACACCACAGCCACACAGGAUCUGAGCUGUCUUUGACCUAUACCAUAGCUCAGGGCAACACCGUAUCCUUAACCCACUGAGCAAAGCCAGGAAUCGCACCUGCAUCCUCUUGGAUACCAGUUGUGUUUGUUAAUGUUACCGCUGAGCCACUACAGGAGCUCCUAUUUCCAACCCUCCUUAAAGCAGGACUGUGUUCCUAUCUGUGGAUUCCCUUAGAUACCCUCAGAAUCCUUAGAAUAAAUGUCUCUUUUGGUUCAGUUGUUGAUGAUGGUUUGUUUGUGCAUGCGUUUGCUUAAGGUAGUUCAUGUCCAUUAAUUAGAAACUAAGAACGCCAGGAAAAGUUCUAACAAAAUCAACAAGAGUUAUUUUAAUUUUGUAGUAAUGGGAAUUUUAUCCAGCUUAAUAAUUCUUUGGCUGUAGCUUUUGUUCAGAGAGGAACUUUUUCUUUCUUCCUUUUUUUUUUUUGGCCAUGCCCACAGCAUGCAGAAGUUCCUGGGCCAGGGAUUGAACUCACACCAUAGCAGUGACCCAAGCCACAGCAGCGACAACACCAGAUCCUUAAGCCACUGAGCCACAAGAGAACUCCAUCUUCCUUUUUUAGUUUUUUAAAAAGAUAUUCAUACAGAUAUGCUCACCGGCAUUUAAGCAGUGGGUUAAAGAGAAGAAAGCUCUUUGCCAAUUAUAAAUUAUUGAAAGUAAAAGAGUCAAGUGUCUCCAUCCAGAGCAUAUGAGUGGUCUUCUUUAAAAUGUUGGAAAACUUCUAAAUUCUUUGCCUCAGACUGCAUUUAGCCAUUGUAUCUAAUUCUGUAAGAUUGUCUUUUCUAUCAAACCAUUAUUAUUAAUGGAAUCCAGAUGUGAAAGUUUCAGACUUUCAAAAGUUAAAAAAAAAUUGUUUUUUUGACAUAUUAGUAUUCCCAGUGGAGAGCCACUCAGUUUUUAUUAAUGUAUUGAAAAUUCAGCUGUAAUGGUUAUUCCUUCAUUUUCUGAAAUGACAGUUUCUUCAACAAAAAGAAAGUUAGUGACAUUUCUCUUCAUCCAAUUUUAAAGUAACCUAAAAGUAAACAAAUGUUUUAUUUCCUUGCAUGGAAAUAUUGAGCUUAUUCAGUAACUUUAAAAUACAUCUGCCACUUAGACCAGGUAUUUCUAGGGUCAUCCAUUCAUUCAGCAACAUUUAUUGAGCAUCUGCCAUGGCCUGGACAUUGUGCUAGGCAAUAGGAAUACAAUAUGAAAAGACAGAUGUGUUCUUUCUUCUUCUAGAUCUUUAGGCAGGUGCUGGAAACGGGUUAUAAAACGAGUAAAAAAAAAAUAAAUAAAUAAUUACUGGAAUUCCUGUUGAGGCUCAGCGGUAAUGAACCCAACUAGUAUCCAUGAGGACACGGGUUCAAUCCCUGGCCCUGGUCAGUGGGUUAAGGAUCUGGAAUUACCAUGAGCUUCAACGUAAGUUGAAAACGUGGCUCGGAUCUUGUGUUGCUAUGGCUGUGGCUCCAAUUCCACCCCGAGCCUGGGACCCUCCAUAUACCACAGGUGUGGCCCUAAAAUAAAUAAAUUAAUAAAGUAAAAAUUACUAAUUUCAGUUAAUAUUAUGAAGAAAUCAAUGAUAUUAUAAUUCAAAAAACCACAGACAUAAACUGAUAUAAAUUUCAAUUUGCUUCAUUUUUUCCUGUGUGAUAAUGGCAAUUAAAAUAUUUUUGUUAUUAGUAAAUGUGGAAAGAUUUUUGGGUUUGAGCAGAACAUUUUCCUUCAGGAUAAUGAUAAUUAAUAACUCCAGGAUGUCAUCAUUAGUACACUUUUCUUUGAAUAUUUCAUGUAAAAUGAGGAGCAACUGAAAUCAUUUAAUCUUUAGUAUUUUGUAUCUUCCAGUGUCACUAUGUAAAAGAGUAUAAUUCAUAAUCAUAGUAUCUAUAUGAUAUUUACAUUCACAAUGGACACUUUAUAAGUACAUCUAAGAACUAUAGAACCAAUGCAAAAUCAAAAAUAGCAAUGCAUCCUUUCUGAGAGAACUCAGUUACCUCUGUUAGCUCACUAUCAUUUAUACAUUAUAAUCUUUCAUUCAUGGGGAGAAAAAGUAGAUACAUUAUUAAAGACAACAGAGUUUUAAGUUAUGGGUAUAAAAGAAGAAUUAACAUUUCCCUUUGCUGUGUUGUUUCAUUUUACUGUAGGGCGGCAAGAUUGUACAAUAAAUACAGUAUGAUUACAGAGGGAAGCAUCAAAUCAAGCUUUGAAUUUUUUGGUUUUUUUUGGCCAUGCCCAUAGCAUGAGGAAGUUCCUGGGCCAGAGACUGAACCUUUGCCACAGCAGGGAUCCCCGCCACAGCAACAAUACCACCAGGUCCUUAACCACAAGGCUACCAGGGAAUUCCCAAGCUUUGAGUUUUGGGGGUUUUGUUUGUUUGUUUUGGCUGCAUCCAAGCCAUAUGGAAAACUCCCGGGCCAGAGGUUGAAUCCAAGCUGUAGCUGCAACCUGUGCCACAGAUGCAAUAACGCUGGAACUUUAACCACUGUGCCAGGCCGGGAAUCAAACCUGUGCCUCCUCAGUGACUCAAGCUGCUAGUACUACCUGUACAUUUUUAGAAAUUUACAAAAUGCACUGAGUUCCCAUCGUGGCUCAGAAGUUAACAAACCUGACUGGCAUCCAUGAGGAUGCAGUUUCAAUCCCUGGCCUUGUUCAGUGGACUAAGGACCCUGCGUUGCUGUGAGCUGCGGUGUAGGUCACAGAUGAGGCUUGGAUCCUGAGUAGCUGUGGCUGUGGCAUAGGCCGGCAGCUUCUGAUUGGACCCCUAGCCUGGAAACUUCCAUAUGCCACGGGUACAGCCCUAAAAAAAAA